UGGGGAAUAUUGGACAAUGGGCGCAAGCCUGAUCCAGCCAUGCCGCGUGAGUGAUGAAGGCCCUAGGGUUGUAAAGCUCUUUCACCGGUGAAGAUAAUGACGGUAACCGGAGAAGAAGCCCCGGCUAACUUCGUGCCAGCAGCCGCGGUAAUACGAAGGGGGCUAGCGUUGUUCGGAUUUACUGGGCGUAAAGCGCACGUAGGCGGACUAUUAAGUCAGGGGUGAAAUCCCGGGGCUCAACCCCGGAACUGCCUUUGAUACUGGUAGUCUUGAGUUCGAGAGAGGUGAGUGGAAUUCCGAGUGUAGAGGUGAAAUUCGUAGAUAUUCGGAGGAACACCAGGGGCGAAGGCGGCUCACUGGCUCGAUACUGACGCUGAGGUGCGAAAGCGUGGGGGGCAAACAGG
This 404-nucleotide ribosomal RNA is filed under the name Actinomycetes bacterium. RNAcentral describes it as "Actinobacteria bacterium partial 16S ribosomal RNA". It matches the Rfam family "Bacterial small subunit ribosomal RNA", at positions 355 to 776 of the family's 1533-position model. Lineage: Bacteria; Bacillati; Actinomycetota; Actinomycetes. The record is from RNAcentral.